AACGAACGCUGGCGGCACGUUUUAAGCAUGCAAGUCGAACGGUAGGAAUCCUUCGGGAUUCUGAGAGUGGCGAACGGGUGAGUAACACGUAGAUGAUCUACCUUUUAGUUGGGGAUAGCCCAUGGAAACAUGGAGUAAUACCGAAUAAUCUCUUUAAGCUUUGGUUUUAAGAGGAAAGCGGCGUUUGCCGUGCUGAAAGAUGAGUCUGCGCACUAUUAGCUAGUUGGUGGGGUAAUAGCCUACCAAGGCGACGAUAGUUAGCCGACCUGAGAGGGUGAUCGGCCACAUUGGGACUGAGACACGGCCCAGACUCCUACGGGAGCAGCAGCUAAGAAUCUUCCGCAAUGGGCGCAAGCCUGACGGAGCGAUGCCGCGUGAAUGAAGAAUGCAGAGAUGUUGUAAAAUUUCUUUUUUAUGAGUGAGGAAUAACU
This 431-nucleotide ribosomal RNA is filed under the name uncultured bacterium. RNAcentral's name for it is "bacterial SSU rRNA". It matches the Rfam family "Bacterial small subunit ribosomal RNA", at positions 29 to 454 of the family's 1533-position model. The record is from RNAcentral.